UACGUAGGGUGCAAGCGUUAAUCGGAAUUACUGGGCGUAAAGCGUGCGCAGGCGGUUUUGUAAGUCUGACGUGAAAUCCCCGGGCUCAACCUGGGAAUUGCGUUGGAGACUGCAAGGCUAGAAUCUGGCAGAGGGGGGUAGAAUUCCACGUGUAGCAGUGAAAUGCGUAGAGAUGUGGAGGAACACCGAUGGCGAAGGCAGCC
This 203-nucleotide ribosomal RNA is filed under the name uncultured bacterium. Its description in RNAcentral is "partial 16S ribosomal RNA". It matches the Rfam family "Bacterial small subunit ribosomal RNA", at positions 524 to 726 of the family's 1533-position model. The record is from RNAcentral.